Molecule: ribosomal RNA, 260 nt
Filed under: uncultured archaeon
Lineage: Archaea
Description: partial 16S ribosomal RNA
Rfam family: Archaeal small subunit ribosomal RNA
Source: RNAcentral
CAGCCCUAAACGAUGCGCGUUAGGUGUAUCGGUGACCACGAGUCACCGAGGUGCCGAAGGGAAACCGUGAAACGUGCCGCCUGGGAAGUACGGUCGCAAGGCUGAAACUUAAAGGAAUUGGCGGGGAGCACCGCAACGGGAGGAGCGUGCGGUUCAAUUGGAUUCAACGCCGAAAAACUCACCAGGAGCGACGGAUAUAUGAAGGUCAAGCUGAUGACUUUACCUGAUUUUCCGAGAGGAGGUGCAUGGCGUAGUCGUGU